UGAAGAUUAAUUUAAUUGAAAAGUGAAGUAGAAGUGGUUGUGGUGAGUGAGGAGACACGGGGCCUGUUCCACACCAUACGUAUCCUCUGAUCUCUUUCACAUUCUCCGCACGAAUGCCUACUUUUUCCCUCUCUUUCUUUCUUUCUCUUUUCUUUUAUCCAAAUAAAUACCACUUCACGUGCAAUCACAUUUUCUCAUUAUUCAUCGCCUUUUUCAUCUUUUUCUUCUAUGCAUUCACUCUUUCACACCCAUCUCAUUCAUAUGCCAUUCAUCCCCCUCUCCACCCUUUUCACUUCUCCUCUCUUUAUUUCUUCAUCUUUCAUUUUUCUUAGGCUUAAUAUCUCCCUUGGUCCUCGUAUUUGUAUGAAAAUCUCAGUUCGAUCCUCAAGUUUUAAACUGUCUCAAUUGGAUUAUAAUUUUUGUAAAAAUGCACACAUUUUACUCUAACCGUUAAC
RNAcentral lists this long non-coding RNA (455 nucleotides) under Vigna radiata. RNAcentral's name for it is "long non-coding RNA (VRAD_LNC004455)". Lineage: Eukaryota; Viridiplantae; Streptophyta; Magnoliopsida; Fabales; Fabaceae. The record is from RNAcentral.